RNAcentral lists this long non-coding RNA (678 nucleotides) under Solanum tuberosum (potato). RNAcentral describes it as "long non-coding RNA (STUB_LNC009252)". The record is from RNAcentral. Lineage: Eukaryota; Viridiplantae; Streptophyta; Magnoliopsida; Solanales; Solanaceae.
AUAUGACUUGAAUGACAUUAAUACUUGGAACAACGGAAAAAAUUAUUUGAAAGGCAUUACCAAAAGUUUAACACUCUCUUUCCCUGAAACAGAUUAUGAUCUACUGUAGAGAUUACAUAUCAGUAAAAAAAGUAUAGAUCAGAGAAGAACAAAACGCUUGAGGAGAUGUUCAUUCUAGAACAUGUCAAUAACAUAUAACAUAGGUGAUACAACUGAGCUCAUUAGAUUUCAACAAGAAGAGUGAAUAGAGAGCACGUCCAGUACAUAUAAAUCCACUGCUUUAUCAUCUGGAAGUGUUGAAGUAAUGCUUAGUCAAAAGUCAAUCAGUACCCACAGGAAAAAAAACUUGGAUAGUACCUAAUUUUACAAAAGGUGAAUGCAGAACAUCAGCCUAUUCAAAGAGAAGAAAAAUGCAAAACAGGAAACAAAGUUGAAAAAAAAGACAAUUAUGAGAAUUGAGACACUUACUAAGAAUACAGAAAGGAUAAUGCUCACCAGCUGGUUGGCAGCAAACCUCAUCAACAUGUUUGAUGUCACCAAAUCCCAUGGACAAUGCCACCAUUAUGUAGUUUUCCAAUAGCAUCACCAAUCAGUUCAUCUGUGAUGGUUUCUUCAAUAAUCUCAAGUAAACCAAACCAAGGAAUAUAUUUUCAUGAGGGACCUUCAACAUACUCAAAG